UGGGGAAUUUUGGACAAUGGGCGAAAGCCUGAUCCAGCAAUGCCGCGUGUGUGAAGAAGGCCUUCGGGUUGUAAAGCACUUUUGUCCGGAAAGAAAUCCUUGGCUCUAAUACAGUCGGGGGAUGACGGUACCGGAAGAAUAAGCACCGGCUAACUACGUGCCAGCAGCCGCGGUAAUACGUAGGGUGCAAGCGUUAAUCGGAAUUACUGGGCGUAAAGCGUGCGCAGGCGGUUUGCUAAGACCGAUGUGAAAUCCCCGGGCUCAACCUGGGAACUGCAUUGGUGACUGGCAGGCUAGAGUAUGGCAGAGGGGGUAGAAUUCCACGUGUAGCAGUGAAAUGCGUAGAGAUGUGGAGGAAUACCGAUGGCGAAGGCAGCCCCCUGGGCCAAUACUGACGCUCAUGCACGAAAGCGUGGGGAGCAAACAGGAUUAGAUACCCUGGUAGUCCACGCCCUAAACGAUGUCAACUAGUUGUGGGGAUUCAUUUCCUUAGUAACGUAGCUAACGCGUGAAGUUGACCGCCUGGGGAGUACGGUCGCAAGAUUAAAACUCAAAGGAA
RNAcentral lists this ribosomal RNA (559 nucleotides) under uncultured bacterium. RNAcentral's name for it is "partial 16S ribosomal RNA". It matches the Rfam family "Bacterial small subunit ribosomal RNA", at positions 355 to 909 of the family's 1533-position model. The record is from RNAcentral.